This 903-nucleotide non-coding RNA is filed under the name Drosophila willistoni. RNAcentral's name for it is "Eukaryotic large subunit ribosomal RNA". It matches the Rfam family "Eukaryotic large subunit ribosomal RNA", at positions 1553 to 2302 of the family's 3401-position model. The record is from Rfam by way of RNAcentral. Lineage: Eukaryota; Metazoa; Arthropoda; Insecta; Diptera; Drosophilidae.
UUUAAAAUGUCAAAUGAAAUAAUAAAUAAUAAAACACUUGAAUAAUUUUGAACGAAAGGGAAUACGGUUCCAAUUCCGUAACCUGUUGAGUAUCCGUUUGUUAUUAAAUAUGGGCCUCGUGCUCAUCCUGGCAACAGGAACGACCAUAAAGAAGCCGUCGAGAGGUAUCGGAAGAGUUUUCUUUUCUGUUUUAUAGCCGUACUACCAUGGAAGUCUUUCGCAGAGAGAUAUGGUAGAUGGGCUAGAAGAGCAUGACAUAUACUGUUGUGUCGAUAUUUUCUCCUCGGACCUUGAAAAUUUAUGGUGGGGAUACGCAAACUUCUCAACAGGCCGUACCAAUAUCCGCAGCUGGUCUCCAAGGUGAAGAGUCUCUAGUCGAUAGAAUAAUGUAGGUAAGGGAAGUCGGCAAAUUAGAUCCGUAACUUCGGGAUAAGGAUUGGCUCUGAAGAUUGAGAUAGUCGGGCUUGAUUGGGAAACAAUAACAUGGUUUAUGUGCUCGUUCUGGGUAAAUAGAGUUUCUAUCAUUUAUGAUAGUUAUUUGUUCCCCGGAUAGUUAGUUACGUAGCCAAUUGUGGAACUUUCUUGCUAAAAUUUUUAAGAAUACUAAUUUUUAAUUAGUUCUUUUAAAUUAUAACGAUUAUCAAUUAACAAUCAAUUCAGAACUGGCACGGACUUGGGGAAUCCGACUGUCUAAUUAAAACAAAGCAUUGUGAUGGCCCUAGCGGGUGUUGACACAAUGUGAUUUCUGCCCAGUGCUCUGAAUGUCAAAGUGAAGAAAUUCAAGUAAGCGCGGGUCAAAACAAGUAAUGACGAAUCCCAGCACAUGCUCUUGCGAUAAUACAAGAUUCCGUAUGGAACAUUCGCUUGAGACGGUUUGGUCAGCGAUAACGCCACGCGACCUGA